CAAUCCCCUUUUCUUCACACCUUCCUCCACUCCCACCUCCACCCAUCAUGCCAACCACCUCCAUCUCCAUCUCCAUUUCCAUCUCCACCUCCACCUCUUCUUGUCUCUCUCCUCCACCACCACCACCACUACUUUGCUAUCCUGCGCUUCCUUAUUCUACGUCCCCAACCCCAUGUCCGCUCCUGCUCGCAAGUUUCCGGCGCCCUGCUGGACCCACGACGAAACCGUAGCCCUCAUCGACGCCUACCGUGAAAAAUGGUACUCUCUCCGCCGCGGCAACC
Molecule: long non-coding RNA, 281 nt
Filed under: Vitis vinifera (wine grape)
Lineage: Eukaryota; Viridiplantae; Streptophyta; Magnoliopsida; Vitales; Vitaceae
Description: long non-coding RNA (VVIN_LNC007305)
Source: RNAcentral